GUCCAGCUGACGAAUCCCAAAUAGAACGAAACGCGUGUCCUGGAU
Molecule: non-coding RNA, 45 nt
Filed under: Schistosoma margrebowiei
Lineage: Eukaryota; Metazoa; Platyhelminthes; Trematoda; Strigeidida; Schistosomatidae
Source: RNAcentral